RNAcentral lists this non-coding RNA (21 nucleotides) under Caenorhabditis elegans. Lineage: Eukaryota; Metazoa; Nematoda; Chromadorea; Rhabditida; Rhabditidae. The record is from RNAcentral.
UGAUUCCAUUCCUUGCCCACA